Molecule: transfer RNA, 72 nt
Filed under: Prevotella sp.
Lineage: Bacteria; Pseudomonadati; Bacteroidota; Bacteroidia; Bacteroidales; Prevotellaceae
Also listed under: 1 other name
Description: tRNA-Thr
Rfam family: tRNA
About the family: Transfer RNA (tRNA) molecules are approximately 80 nucleotides in length. Their secondary structure includes four short double-helical elements and three loops (D, anti-codon, and T loops).
Source: RNAcentral
GCUUCAAUAGCACAGAGGUAGUGCAGCUCACUUGUAAUGAGCAGGUCGCAGGUUCGAAUCCUGCUUGAAGCU